This 285-nucleotide unclassified non-coding RNA is filed under the name Hevea brasiliensis (rubber tree). Lineage: Eukaryota; Viridiplantae; Streptophyta; Magnoliopsida; Malpighiales; Euphorbiaceae. The record is from RNAcentral.
AAUGAACUGAAGGAGAUGUCCUAGGUACAUGAUCUAGGUGGAGAGGGACAUCCGACAUGGAAGGAUCUUCUACUCAUGAAGCUUGCAAAGAGAAUGAACUGAAGGAUAUGUCCUAGGUACCGGAUCUAGGUGGAGAGUGACGGCGCAUGUCUGCAUAUUACAUGUAGAUUUGUUUUGUUGAGUUCAUUAUAACCAUUAUAUGUUUUAGUUUCUAAAGGUAAUAAUUUUGUGAUUAAUUAUUUCAUGUGCCAAUAUGAGUUUUGUUAUGGCUCUUGCAGAUGGUGG